AUAGGUCUGAAAGAAAAAGAAGAAAAAAUGGGCCCAUAAUAAGAUUUUAACUUUUUAGAUUUGUGAGGACCUAAAAAAAAAAAAAACGUUGUUGCAAGCAAACUUCAUUUAGAAAGCUAUUACGGUGAUUUCUGAGUAUUGACACUAUGAGCUAAGUGUCAGUACUCAGCAUUCAAGUCCUCAGCUUUCAUGGCUGUCAUUUGUGCAUCAUAGCAGGGCUGACCUCUCUCAUUCCCAAAAGCGUCUGUUGUGCAAAGCUCCAGGGAGGGGCAAUUCUGUUCAAUAAUACACAUCAGUGCCUAUCUAAUGUAUUGAUUUUCAUAAAUCAGUACCUCACUUGCCGCUUGCUGACUAAGAUCUGUGCCCUUCAGGGACAGGCUUGUCAGCAGAAGGGUAAAUCCAGUUAAUAACUAGUUCUGUCUUCCUCCUACAGCCCACCCACUGUGUUGUUUCUCAGAAAUCCUAUGAAUUAAUACCCUGAAUAAUAUUCUGGCCACAGAACCACAAACGGUAAAUGAAGGUUGAUGGAACAGCACUGAAACCUGCAUUGAGCGCUACUGGCCUGCCUUUACAUUACUGAUUACUGCAAGCAUACUUUACUUUACAUCACAGCUCUAAAGCAUGCUGCAGAAAACAUUGGAAGAAUCUCUUGAAUCCCAAGUCUACAGAACUCAGAAGUAAGGAAGAAGCACAAUCUUACAGACAACUUUUGAAUCCAAUCAUGCAUUGUCCAGAUGUACCAAGAAAUAACUAUCCAAUGACUGAAGUCUUUCCUACCAUAACCCCUAAGGUUCCAGAUUAUCAGUUUCUCAUUGAGAUGCAAGUGUACUGAUGAAGAAUUAUCCAGAAGACCCAAGUUAAGAGUGAUAAUACAAUACCAUCUGAAAAUGAUUUACAGAAGGAAGAAGGAAAAAUCCAUGAUGACAUGAAGACUACAGCAAAUGUACACUUGAUUGUCCUGUUCCACUGAAAUCCAAGGAGACAAGGCAGAAUCUGAAAAGGGGAGUCCCAUCAGGAAAAACCGAGAACACUGAAGACAACAGAAAACUCCUGUAAAGAUUUGCUCUGUGUUAUCCACUUCAAGCUUUCAGAUUUUUGUAGUUUUUCUUUAGAGCCAAUAUAAAUUACAUGUGGAAAAAUACUUCAAAAUAUUUAUUAUAUUUAUGCUUGCUCUGUGUCAUCAUUUUUCAUCUAUCCAGGUUCUUUGCACACAGGUAGCAUCUCAUGAUUGCUGUUUGACCACAGAGCUGCUAUAGAUGUUACUCAGCUCAACAUCACGCUUCUUAACUAUCAAUUGCCAACUCAGCCCACAGCCAUGGUCGUUUCUUUCCCCACUUACCAACUGGCUCACUUUUGUUUCUUAGACAGAAUAAAUUAUUAGGGCUCACUAUGA
Coturnix japonica (Japanese quail) is the source of this 1393-nucleotide non-coding RNA. The record is from RefSeq and is a predicted model, not a curated record. Lineage: Eukaryota; Metazoa; Chordata; Aves; Galliformes; Phasianidae.